This is an RNA transcript of Daucus carota subsp. sativus, 2448 nucleotides long. RefSeq lists it as uncharacterized. The record is from RefSeq and is a predicted model, not a curated record. The transcript has 7 exons. Lineage: Eukaryota; Viridiplantae; Streptophyta; Magnoliopsida; Apiales; Apiaceae.
AAUAUGUGUCUACUUGAAACAAAUAUAGAGAGUACUUUGUAAUUUUAGAUAAAAAUCUGCAACUGUAUUCAUAGAUAUGUGAAAGAGUUUAACUAAGGAAAACAAUAAUAAACACUUGAAUUUGAAAGUUGAUCGUAAAGGAGCAGGUAAAUCUGAGACUGACUUGAGUCCAUAAGAAGAUAAGGUAUUGCUGGUCCUGUGUAUUUCCGCUUCUUAAGAAAAUAGGAUAGGAUGGUCCUGUUAUUGUUAACAGUCAACUUUUGUCACUCAAAACAAAUGACAGCUCUGAUAUGACUGAAAUAUCGCGAGAGGAAUUCAGAGAAAUGGACGAACAAAUUAGACCACCAUUCGUGGUAAUGGUCCAAGACUUUUAACAUUUUGACGGACCUGGAAACACAAUGUAAUGCAAACAACUGGGAAAUAGGCAAAGACGGAACAAAAUCAUGAUAUAAUGGCUUAUUAUCUAUCUUUGUAAAUUCAUUUUCAGCCAGCACCGACUUGAUUCAAAGUAUAUAUCUCAAGCAGGAUGACCCAAAUAUUAUAGCACUAAUGCAACAAGCAGAAAUACUCAGUUCACUCGCACUCAAAUUUGAUGCAGAGAACAAAGAUCAGAGUAUUAAUAAUGCUUGGAAGCCAAGAUGAUCCAGGUUCACGGUUAACGACUCCAACUCCUGCUGAUAAAACAAACCAGAAACUCUCUCACUCAAGACAAGCUUCAGGUACAAGCCAUCGUUUUUAGGCUUCUAGGCUCAUAAAUUAAGUACAACAUGUGCUGAUCAUGGCAUGCCAUUCCAGAUGCCAGCGUCAACAAUAAAAUUGGCCGUGUCAACGCAACCAACAGCAUGGUAUUCUGAUGAAGCAAGUACCAGACCAAAAUAUUUGAUACAUGCUUUAAACAAGGCUGGGAAAACGAGUGGUUCAGGAAGCCAGAAAGUUUCAGUAGAUGUGUUCAAUUACAUUUGGACGGGGAACACAUUCCAAGGUGUUUUUUCAAUGGACAUGGUAAUGAUUUACAUGAUAUAGGUAAAGCACUGGUAAAUUUAGGUAAAUCACGGACUAUAGCACUCAUCAUAUGCUUCUGGCCAUAUUGGAAACAACAAAUCAGUUGCGGCACAGAGUAUGUUCUCAACAUCAUUUCCCCCUGUAUGGUGUUUAUGUGUAAUUUUUUUCUCCACAACUUUUGUGACAAAGGACUGCCUGAGCUUUGCGUAGCUGUGACAGCACUAAUUCUAGCUUGGGUCAUUUUUUUUAUUCUUUUCAUGCCUGAACAAUAUUCUUUUUGAUUUAAAAUAUAUCUUUUCUAGAAUGCAAAACUUCUGCGCUUUACAUUGGCCAUGGUCCAUUAGGUGAUAGGAACUUAUAAAUUUGCAGUUUUUAAAUAUUUGUCCGCCGAUACAAUUACAUAUUGUGGGUGUAUUUUCAGUUUCACUUUUAAGCUUCCAGCGACGGGUACUAAUAUCCGUGUACUCAAGAUGAAGCAGCAUGGAUGGAAACGGUUGAAGCAUUUAAUUUUACUGUUGAACCAUCAUUUAUUGGCAUCACUAUUGUUAUUAUGUUAGAUGUAUAUUAAUCAAAUAGCAGUGCAUAUAAAACAUGGUGUAAAUAGCAGUGCGUAUAAAACAUGGUGCAUAUAUGAUAUUCUGUCUCUACUUUAAUUUAGGAUGUUAAUGAUUUUGAUAGAAUAGAUGAGUUUGGUUUUACAACAUGCUUGGAUGUACCAGGGUGUUGAAUGGGAAGAGUCUGACAUAUUUGAAGGGUCUGUUGAAUGGGAAGAGAAGUAUUGGGAGGCUGCUGAUGAAUUUGAUCACAAGGAACUUGGUUCAGAGAAAUCAGGACGUGAUUCUGCUGGAAAUGUUUGGCGUAAAUUUUGGAAGGAGUCCAUGUACCAGAUAUUUAUAUGGCUGAUGCAAUUCUGUUUUGUUUUCCUACAGAAAGAUGGAUCUGUGCAUUUUGAGAAAACUGCAGACAAAUGGGGAAAGAACUGUGAGGGAAGUGAAUGGCAGGAGAAUUGGUGGCCUGGUGGGAAUCCGAUGGUGCCUCCGGCCAAGCUGAGAAAUGUUCGCAUAAGUGGUGCAGCAUCGACCCAAACACAUCCCUUGAGACAUAUCAUGAGCAUGUCUGGCAUGAAAGAUUGCAGGACAUAUGAAGCAGAAUUUUUUGCUAGGAUUGCUCAGGAUGCAUACAACUACACAGCAUAAUUGUGACGCUUCUAGCUCGACUCUAAGUUUCUUAUCAUUCUUUGAGUGGAUGGUUAAAGACUUAAAGUGGAGGGAGUUGAACACACAGAGUUUGGACAGACAAUUAUGCUGUUUUGCGAGAUUUAGUUUACGCUACUGGUGGUCUCUUUUUUGCUGUUGCCGUAGCGAAGCAGAAAGUGUAAAAGUUGCAAGAGUACUGUUGGUUAAAGUUUAUAAUACUCCAUUCAGUCUAUCAAGUUUCCUGUUUGAA